GACGAACGCUGGCGGCGUGCUUAACACAUGCAAGUCGAACGGUAAGGCCCUUCGGGGUACACGAGUGGCGAACGGGUGAGUAACACGUGGGUGAUCUGCCCUGCACUUCGGGAUAAGCCUGGGAAACUGGGUCUAAUACCGGAUAGGACCACUGCCUGCAUGGGUGGUGGUGGAAAGCUUUUGCGGUGUGGGAUGGGCCCGCGGCCUAUCAGCUAGUUGGUGGGGUAAUGGCCUACCAAGGCAUCGACGGGUAGCUGGUCUGAGAGGAUGAUCAGCCACACUGGGACUGAGACACGGCCCAGACUCCUACGGGAGGCAGCAGUGGGGAAUCUUGCGCAAUGGGCGAAAGCCUGACGCAGCAACGCCGCGUGCGGGAAGAAGGCCUUCGGGUCGUAAACCGCUUUCAGCAGGAACGAAAAUGACGGUACCUGCAGAAGAAGGUGCGGCCAACUACGUGCCAGCAGCCGCAGUAA
RNAcentral lists this ribosomal RNA (473 nucleotides) under uncultured bacterium. Its description in RNAcentral is "partial 16S ribosomal RNA". It matches the Rfam family "Bacterial small subunit ribosomal RNA", at positions 28 to 523 of the family's 1533-position model. The record is from RNAcentral.